Molecule: long non-coding RNA, 5450 nt
Filed under: Capsicum annuum
Lineage: Eukaryota; Viridiplantae; Streptophyta; Magnoliopsida; Solanales; Solanaceae
Description: long non-coding RNA (CANN_LNC003259)
Source: RNAcentral
GAGAAGUGAUGGAGAAAUGGAUUCAUAUCAAAUAUGAGUAUGUUUCAAAGUACUGUAAAGAAUGUAAGUUGCAGGGACAUAAUGAGAAAGAAUAAUGAUGAGGUAAAAGAGAAGAAAGAUACACAAUCACAGAAAGGAGAUGAAAAGAACAAAGAAUAAUCAAUAAGUAAGGAAGAUAAUAGUAAAGAAAAGGGGACUAAAGAGGAAGAAUUUCAGCAGCAAAAGAGGAAGCAAGAUAAAAGAAGAAGAAAUUAUAGGAGAAGACAGGAAACACGAUGGAAUCAGAAGGUCCAUAAUCAAAAGAUUAAUACGAAUAAAGAUGCAGAAGUCACAGUAAAUAACAAGUUUGGAGCAUUGGAGGAGAAAGAUGCAGCAGAUAAUAAUAACAAACAAAUUCCAGAGAGUGGUAACAACAUAAUGAGUGGAAAGGAACAAGAGGAUAUGCAUGUCCAUUAUACAAGUAAAAAGAAUGAUAACAUGGGAUCAUCACAAAAUUGUAGUGAUAAUUCCACCAAAAAGGAGAUAUACAAGAAGAGUCACAAAGUUCAGUCAAAUAUCAAGGUAGAGAAAGUGUGGACCAAGACACAGUGGACUCUAUGAAUAAUAUACAGAUUGCUGCCUAAGAAAUUUUAGUUCUGGAGAAACCUGAUGAAAGCAGAGAUGAGGUCCCUAAAAUUCAGAAUAUGACACAAUAGGAGAAACAACAAAAAUAGGACCAAGAAAAAGAUGCAGACAUGGAAGCUAAUAUAGAUCAAAUUGAAAGGGAUGGAGAUUUAUCUCCAAGACAAAUUGGCCAGUUAAAAGGAAAGAAUAGAAAGAAUUCCAAGAAUAAUAGGACCAAAUCACAAAUUAAUACAAGGAGUAAGUCAGGUCUCAAAUUUAGUAGUGCUCAAUGAUUAAUAAAGUGUUAUUCUAGAACAUUAGAUCUAUUAGAACUCAAAGUUCUUUUGAGAGACUAAUAGAUCUUCAUAGAAGGAAUAAAUACUCUUAAAUUGAUUUAAUGGAGCCUUUUAAAAGUCCAACUGAAUUGAAAGUUUACAAAAGAAGAUUAGCCUUUCCAAAUGCUAAAUCAAGUUGUUUUAAUAAAAUUUAGGUAUUCGGGGAUGAUGAAUGGGAAGAAAUAGAUGUUUCAGACACUAUUCAGCAAUUAACAAUUGAAUACAAGGUGAGUGGAGAAUCUGAUUUCUUCAAAAUAACUAUAGUGUAUUCUAGAUGUAGUUAUCUAGAGAGAUUUGAAUUGUGGAAGGAUUUGGAGGAAAUUUCUAAUCAUACGAAUAUUCCUUGGCUUGUCGACGGUGAUUUUAAUGUAAUCAUGAAUGAUUCGAGGAAGUUAGGAGGUCUCCCAGUGACACAAUAGGAAACUCUAGAUUUUUCUUAAUAUAUCAAUUCUUGUGCUUUAAAUAAGUUAAGAUACACUGGCAGCAGAUUCACUUGGUGGAAUAGAAGAAUUCAAGAGGACUAUAUCUUCAAAAGAUUGGAUAGGACGUUUGGUAACUAUGAUCUCAUACAGAUUAUGCCUAACUGUGAAGUUCAUCAUCUCAUUAGACAAGGUUCAAAUCAUGCCUCUUUACAUGUAAUAAACAACACUGAACAAAUGCAAGUUAGCAAAUCUUUUAGGUUCUUGAAUUUUUGGACCAAGCAUGAAGAUUUUCAAAAGAUAGUACAGGACUCUUGGAAGGAAAACAUCACUGGUUCACCUUUUCAGAUAGUACAUAAAAAGCUGAAAAAGGUCAAAUCAGUUCUUGCUAGUUGGAGUAGGGCUACUUUUAGAGAAUUUUUUCAAAAUGUAGCUACUUUGGUAGAUAUCAUAAAAGUAAAGAAAUCACAGUUAGAGAUUCAACCAACUCCAGAAAAUAGAGAGUAACUAAGUAAAGUAGAGGCUGAUUUAAAGAGAUUGAGGAAAAUAGAAGAAGAUUUUUGGAAACAGAAGGCAGAAAUGAAAUGGUUUAUAGAUAGAGAUAGAAAUACAAAAUUUUUCACUCAUAUAUGAAAAGAAAGGAAGAGAAGAUCGCAGGUGACAAAAAUAUAGACAAGACAAGGGAACACUAUCACAUCAGCUCAAAAUAUUGGAGAGGGGGCGAUGCAGGUAUUCAUGAAAUAAUUUGCAGAAACACGGUUCGAUAAAAAUUAUAACAUGUUAGGAUGUAUCAAUAGAAGCAUUUUUUAGGAUCUAAAAGAGACAAUGAAAAGAUUUCCUGACAUUGAAGAGAUUAAGCAAAUUGUGUUCUCAUUGAAUAGAGAAAGUGCAAGUGGUCCAAAUGGUUUUUCGGGCUAAUUCUUUCAAUGUUGUUGGAAUAUAGUGGGUUAAGAUAUUACCAAUUUCGUGAAAUCUUUCUUUUAUGGAAGUGAACUUAUUCCAAAGAAAGAAGUGGUUACUAUUAUGGUGAUCUAAGACCCAUUAGUCUUAGCACUUCUGUUAAUAAGAUUAUUUUCAAGUUGAUUCAUAUAAGAAUUAUGGAGGUCCUUCUUAAUAUUAUCUCUAAUAAUCAGGCUAAUUUUGUUAAAUGAAGAAGUAUAACAGAAAAUUUUUUGUUAGCUCAGGAAAUUAUUAGAGAUGUUAAUAGAAGAAAUAAAUUUCAUAAUGUGAUGGUAAAAUUGGACAUGUAGAGUCUCUUGGAAAUAUCUUGUGGAGGUCCUGAGAAGAUUUGAUUUUUCUGAAAGGAUUAUUGCUAUGGUGGUCAUAUUAAUAAACAAUAAUUGGUAUUCAGUUUUUAUGAAUGGCCAAUCUUAUGGUUUCUUUCAGUCAUCAAGAGGAUUAAAGCAGGGUGAUCCAUUGUCACCAACUUUAUUUAUUAUUUCAGCUGAAUUUUUAUAAAAAAGUUUAAAUGAGUUGUUUAACGAUACAGACUUUAGAGGAUAUGGCAUGCCAAAGUGGAGCCCUGAUAUUAAUCACUUAUCCUAUGCUGAUGAUAAUAUUUUAUUUUAUUUUGGACAAUCAAUAUUAAUGAAGAAAAUGAUGACAGUGUUGAGAAGGUAUGGAUAUACUUCUAGUCACAUGACCAACUUAGACAAGAGCUUGUUGAAUUUGCAUAAAAAGGUUUCCAUAAUAGUGUGCAACAGUAUAAGGAGAAUCACAGGAAUAAAACAAGGUAAAUUUCCCUUUACUUACUUGGGCUAUCCAAUUUUUUAUGAAAGAAUGAAUAAGGGGCAUUAUGAGGAGGAGAUGAAAAAGGUGAUGAAAAGUCUAAAUUCUUGGCAGAAUAGACCUCUUUCUUAUGGAGGUAGAUAUAUUAUUAUUAAGCAUGUUUUACUAUCUAUGCCCAUAUAUAUUCUUUCUGCUAUGAAUCCCCCUGUUAGAGUAAUCAAUCAAUUACACAAGGUGUUUGCAAAUUCUUUAGGGGGAAUGCUACUAUGUCAAAGAAUAAAAAUUGGGUCUCUUGUGAGGUCAUAUGUUACCCAAAAAAGUGAAGGGGGUUUGGAUUUAAAUCUCUACAUGAUAUGUCUAGGGUACUUUUUGCAAAACUAUGAUAGAAUUUUAGAAUUUCAACAUCAUAUUUGUGGAGUUCUUUUAUGUGGAAUAAGUAUUGCAAAAAGUUGCAUCCCUUAUUAACUAAAGGAAAUAGAGCAUCUCAUGUUUGCAAGAAAAUGAUUGAUGUAAGAGAUAAAGUAGAGCAUAACAUUCGGUGGAAAAUUAAAGCUAAAAAUGCAAGUUUUUGGUAUGACAAUUGGACAAAACAGGGUGCUUAGAAUGAUGUUGAAGGAGAACUUUUUCAAGAUGAAGAGAUAGAGGUCAAGAAUUUCAUCAAAAAUAAGGAAUGCGACAAGCAGAGUUUACUAUCAUAUCCAUCCAAGGAGAUGGUGGAUAUGAUUAUGGAGUCCAUAAAGCCUACAGUAGAAGGAUAUUUGAAUGAUAGGCCUUGAUGGAUGGGGAGCACAAGUGGACAUUUCACUAUGAAGUCGGCUUGGGAGUUCAUUAGAAAGAAAAAAAGAGAAAAGGAGAGAUUUUGAGUUCAUUUGGCACAAGGGCUUACCUUUUAAAAACAAUUUUAUCCUAUGGAGGGUAUGACUGAAGAGGAAUCCUAUAGAUGACAAUUUAAAGAGAAUGAAUAUUCAAUUGGUCUCAGGAUGUCGGUGUUGUGAAAAUAGGAGGGAGAAAACUAUGACCCAUGUCUUACUAACAACUCCUUUAGCUUUCAAGCUUUAGAGAUAGUUUGCUCAUUUUGCAGGUAUAUAGGUUGAUAAUAUGCAGUUAUAACAAAUGGUUGUAUUAUGGCGAACAAAGGAGUUAACUUCUAAGCUGAACAUGAUUUUUAAGCUUUACCAGCCAUAAUCAUGUGGACUUUAUGGAAGAGGAGGAACACUAUUAAGCAUGGUGGCUCUACUCAUUUUACUGGAAUGGUUUGGCAGGAUUAGCAAGUGAUCAAAUUAUUUUAUCAAAAGGUGGUAUGGAAGAAACCUGAUGUAUUUCAUUUAAAAUUCAAUACAGAUGGUGCUUGCAGGGAAUCCAGGGAUGAGUUCAUAUGGUUUUUGCAUUAGAGAUGAUACAAGGGAUCUAGUGUAUGCAAGAGAUAAAGGACUAUGAAUAGGUACUAAUAUUGAAGCAGAAGCGAUUGCAAUCAGAGAAGCUCGAGAGUUCUGUUAUGAGAAAGACUUCAAAAAUCUUAUCAUUGAAACAGAUUCUUUAGGCCUCAAACAAAUGAUUAUAAAGCAGUGGAAAGUCCCUUGGCAAAUAAUGGAGAUCAUUGAAGAUAUCAGGAGCUAUAUUCAACAUAUAAAUUCCACUAUCACACAUACUUUUAGGGAAGGUAAUACAGUGGCUGAUUCAUUAGCAAAUGGGAUAAUAGAAGCACAGGACAUGCAUGAAUAUCAUUGUUUUAAACAGCUACCAGUGCAAACAAGAAGGUUACUAAAUAUUGAUAAAGACCAAAUUCCACACAUAAGGAUCAAAACAAGAAGGAUAAUGCAACAGUAACCAACAAAUUCAUCAUGUAUAUUUACAAGGAAACAACAAGUUCAAGCAUAGUCCAACAAGCAAUAACUAGAAACAUUAAAAAAGCAUAGUAAAAAGAGUUUAACAGUAUGCCUGGAAGAAGACAGUACAACUGUGCAACCUACAGCUUGAAUGGAACCCCUAUCUAUCAACCACCAUAUAAUGAGAGAUCAGGAUCUGGGUGAACUGGAUGUAGUCUGGUCAUGUGAGAUACCCAAGACCACCUGAAUACAAAAGAGAAGAAGUUUCAGUUUGAGGUCAAACAGUGCCUGACAAGAGUGAAGAUGAUAGAAAGAGAUCAGCUUCAAUCCACCAUGGUAGCUAGUACAGUACACAGAUAAGGAGAAAAUGGAGCUUGGAAUUCCACAGGCAACAUUGUUGCGGACAGGUUGAAGAGAAAAGAAAGAGCACUUGCUACUCUUUUCUCAAACCCUACCUAUAUUAGACAAUCAGGAAACUUUUUAGAUUCCUUGUUGUUUGGAUCGGGUCUUUUAUGGAUCCAUUUUUGAGCCUAUACUCG